GCAACGCCUAAAUAUUCCCACGCCUUCCGAUAUUCUAAGUCAAUUCAACUGUGAAAGAAAAAGAUGCAUUUCCCCCCCACACACUCCCGUUAGAGUAGCUGCCUGGGUGUGUUUUUAUUUCAAUUUUUCACCAACAGCUACGCUCUAGGUAGGUUCUACCCACUUCACGCGCUGUAAAUUGGAAGCAACGGGAAACAUACCAUUCGUUACUGACUUUGUUUUUAUGACCCAUCAUCGCACCCGGUGAUGGCCGGGUGCGAUCGUGUUCAAACACGGGAGUCGAGCCGGUAAAUCCACAAUAUGCUUGGUGGGUCAAUGGUCGCUGGGUUUGAUUGUCGGCGACCGAUUCCAAGGCUCAAUUGUAAACCUGUAAAGGUUUUGUUUUUGAUCUAAAAUGUCGUACUGGACGUUGACUAAAACAACAUCCGUACGGUGUCCUGGUUUCGCGGGGCAGCGACCGCGCAGCGAUGCGUUUGUUUUGUUUUCCAUGAUCGUAUAUGUUGGGUCCGGUUGGUUUGGUGCAGCUCUGAUUACGCUCGGUGGGCCGUCGAUAGGAAUGCCAUGGAACGGAUACCCUAUCGAUCGCGCUAGAAUGUUGCGAAAAUCAAGGCUCCGUAUUGGCCGCAUAUGGCUUUAGGUAGCCAAAAUUGUUUUUGUUUUGAAAUCAAGGCGCGGUUUCAGGUAGCCUAGAUUGUUUUGGUUUUGAAAUCGAGGCACUGUAUCUGCCGAGAAUGGUUUCAGGUAGCCGUGAUUGUUUUCACUUGGUUCGAUUUUUGAACCCAGGUGAACCAUAAAAGGAAUGUUGAAAAUCGAAAUCGUACUGGCGGCAUAGGGGCGCCGGAAUUGUUUUGUACUCGAUUUUGUUUUGACUUCGAGUAAAAGAAUGUGGGGUAUAAUUUCAACGAACAUCCGCGGCCGAGCCCGGCUAGGGGUCAUUGUGCACAAGCAAGGGUACAUUUGAAUAACAAGGCGGUUGCUUUGUUUUGAAGAAUUGGGUGCCAAGUCCGAAAGAUGAUGGCGCUAAGAAUGAUGAUAAUGAUGAUGAUGAUAAUGAUGAUGAUAAUGAUGAUGAUAAUGAUGAUGAUGACGAUGAUGACGAUGAGGAUGAUGGUGAAGAUGACGAUAUGACACGCCCAAGCAUUGAAGAUGCCCAAGUGAGGCGGGGCUAGACGAUGUAGGCCUUCGGGUAAAGAUUCUUAGAAGGGGUUUUUGCGAACACGCCCAAGUCAGGCGUGGUUAGGAAAUUAGGUUUUUUUUAUCAGAACUAGGAUUUUUGGUAGGGCUUGGGAUACGCCCAAGACACGGCUAGGCUUGGGAUACGCCCAAGAGAAAAGAGAUUUUUCAAGAAGAGAAAGAUGUAAAACACGAUGUGGACAAGUAGGAAAGGUAGAAGGUUUUGGGACGUUUUAGUAUUUAUAUUUUUUUAGGUUUUUGGACACGCCCAAGAUGGGUUGGGCAACGUUAGGAAUUUUCGUGACUUAUUCGGGUAUUGCUAGGAAAUUUAGGCUAUAAAUACGGAGGUUUUGGCUUCAGUCGGGAGCAGUUGUUGAAGAACAGAGUAAUCGAGGAGAGUUCGACGUUAGAGUUGUUGAAGAACGGAGUUGCUGAGUUCAAAGACAGUCAGUGAGACAGUGGGUCAGUUUCAACGCUAGAGUGUUCAAUCUUGGUUCAGAAAAGACAGUAGUUGUAAAAGUUCAGUUUUUCAACGUAAGAGUAAAAGUCCAGUUCGGUUCAGUUUUUUUAACUUCGGUGAAGAAAUACAGAAAGGUGAUAUAAGAAAAAAAAUUGAAUCAUUGUAAUAUAAGUUAAGUGAUGGUUUGUGAUAUUUCAAUAUAGAUUAUUAAAAAGA
This is a long non-coding RNA of Aedes albopictus (Asian tiger mosquito), 1849 nucleotides long. RefSeq lists it as uncharacterized. The transcript is spliced from 2 exons. The record is from RefSeq and is a predicted model, not a curated record. NCBI's taxonomy places the organism in Eukaryota, Metazoa, Arthropoda, Insecta, Diptera, Culicidae.